Molecule: long non-coding RNA, 1512 nt
Organism: Hypanus sabinus (Atlantic stingray)
Lineage: Eukaryota; Metazoa; Chordata; Chondrichthyes; Myliobatiformes; Dasyatidae
Exons: 2
Source: RefSeq, a predicted model, not a curated record
GAGAAGGGGGAGGAGGGAGAAUUGAAUUGACUUUAUUACUUACAUCCUUCACGUACAUGAAGGAUGUAAAAUUAAAAAAUCUUUGUCUCUAUCUAAAUUUGCCAUUUAUAGUAAUGUGUAAUAAAUAGUAUGUUUAGCAGAACAAUCAGUAUAACAUAGAAAUACAAAUGUAUCAGCAUGAAUUAAUCAGUCUGAUGGCCUGGUGGAAGAAGCUGUCCCGGAGCCUGUUGGUCCUGGCUUUUCUGCUACUGUACCAUUUCCCGGAUGGUAGCAGCUGGAACAGUUUGUGGUUGGGGUGACUCGGGUCCCCAGUGAUCCUUCGGACCCUUUUUAAACACCUGUCCUUGUAAAUGUCGAAUAGUGGGAAGUUCACCUCUACAGAUGCGCUGGGUUGUCCACACCACUCUCUGCAGAGUCCUGCGAUUGAGGGAAGUACAGUUCCCAUACCAGGCAGUGAUGCAGCCAGUCAGGAUGCUCUCAAUUGUGCCCCUGUAGAAAGGCCUUAGGAUUUGGGAGGCCCAUACCAAACUUGUUCAAUCCUCUGAGGUGAAAGAGGCGCUGUUGUGCCUUUUUCAUCACACAGCUGGUGUGUACAGAACAAGUGAGAUCCUCGGUGAUGUUUAUGCUGAGGAACAUAAAGCUGUUCACCCUCUCAACCCCAGAUCCAUUGAUGUCAAUGGGGUUACCCUGUCUCCAUUCCUCCUGUAAUCCACAACCAGCCCCUUUGUUUUUGCGCCAUUGAGGGAGAGGUUGUUUUCUCAACACCACUAUGUCAGGGAGAUGACUUCCUCUCUGUAGGCCUCCUCGUUAUUGUUUGAAAUUAGGCCAAUCAGUGUAGUGUCGUCAGCAAAUUUAAUUAGACUGGAGCUGUGGGUGGCGACACAGUCAUGGGUAUACAGAGAGUAAAGGAGGGGGCUUAGUACUCAGCCCCGAGUGGCACCUCUGUUGAGGGUCAGGGGGGCGGAGGUGAGGGAGCCCACUCUUACCACCUGCCAGUGAUCUGACAGGAAAUCCAGGAUCCAGCUACACAAGGCAGGAUGAAGGCCGAGGUCUCUGAGCUUCUUGUUGAGCCUGGAGGGAAUUAUGGUGUUGAAUGCUGAACUGUAGUCCAAGAACAGCAUUCUCACAUAAGCAUCCCUCUUCUCCAGAUGUGUAAGGACGGUGUGUAAAGCUGUGGCUAUUGCGUCAUCUGUCGAUCGGUUGUGUCGGUAGGUGAAUUGUAGGGGGUCCAGUUUGGGUGGUAGCAUGCAGCAGAUGUAAUCCUUGACCAGCCUCUCAAAGCAUUUGCUUAUUAUUGAGACUGUAGGAGGGAACUGGAGCAUCCGGGGAGAUGCCCCACAUUCCAUGGGGAGGACGUACGGAGAACGGCGCUGGGACUGAGCUCCAAACUCUGAGCAGUAAUACCAUCGUGCUGUCUGUUAAAGGAGGCCGAGUGUACUGUCACCAGAGAGUUGCAGCAAGAUUGUACAGCAGCUCCCCUUACAAUUAAAUCAGCAUGCCAUUUGCUCUCUG